UUGUAUCCCUUUCCCUCUCAGACACUCUCUAACCCUUUAUCUCUCUAGAACUUUCUGGUUCUCUCAUGGCCUUCGUCGUCAUACCACCUCUUUCCUCUCGAUUUCCAGCAACCAUGGAAUCCCUAUGUCGUGGUUUCCUCUCUCAAGCUUGAAGCCUAGCAGCUUCUGCCAUGGAAGACGGUCAUUAAAGCUCUACUUGGGGUCUGUUUCCGAUUUUUCUCCGGUGGUCUUUUGAACAAUGAUUCUUUCUAUGUCAUUGUAUACGAGUUUCACAGCCAGGUUUUUCAUUUCCCUAAUCUGUUUGAAAACCCUAAUUUUUCUUUUUAAUAUCUACUCUUUUAAAUAACUUUUAGUUUGAUUUUUGUUUUCUACUCUAUUUCUACUUAGCUUCUCUGGUGUUUUCAAAUUUUUUGAUGAUU
This 419-nucleotide long non-coding RNA is filed under the name Nicotiana benthamiana. RNAcentral's name for it is "long non-coding RNA (NBEN_LNC013227)". The record is from RNAcentral. Lineage: Eukaryota; Viridiplantae; Streptophyta; Magnoliopsida; Solanales; Solanaceae.